RNAcentral lists this ribosomal RNA (490 nucleotides) under uncultured bacterium. RNAcentral describes it as "partial 16S ribosomal RNA". It matches the Rfam family "Bacterial small subunit ribosomal RNA", at positions 30 to 507 of the family's 1533-position model. The record is from RNAcentral.
AUUGAACGCUGGCGGCAGGCCUAACACAUGCAAGUCGAACGGUAACAGGAAGAAGCUUGCUUCUUUGCUGACGAGUGGCGGACGGGUGAGUAAUGUCUGGGAAACUGCCUGAUGGAGGGGGAUAACUACUGGAAACGGUAGCUAAUACCGCAUAACGUCGCAAGACCAAAGAGGGGGGCCUUCGGGCCUCUUGCCAUCGGAUGGGCCCAGAUGGGAUUAGCUAGUAGGUGGGGUAACGGCUCACCUAGGCGACGAUCCCUAGCUGGUCUGAGAGGAUGACCAGCCACACUGGAACUGAGACACGGUCCAGACUCCUACGGGAGGCAGCAGUGGGGAAUAUUGCACAAUGGGCGCAAGCCUGAUGCAGCCAUGCCGCGUGUAUGAAGAAGGCCUUCGGGUUGUAAAGUACUUUCAGCGGGGAGGAAGGGAGUAAAGUUAAUACCUUUGCUCAUUGACGUUACCCGCAGAAGAAGCACCGGCUAACUCCGUG